Molecule: long non-coding RNA, 1919 nt
Organism: Ursus maritimus (polar bear)
Lineage: Eukaryota; Metazoa; Chordata; Mammalia; Carnivora; Ursidae
Source: Ensembl
GAGGCUCUUUCAGGGACUCUUGACUGUCAAUACUGUGGGAAACAGCGUCCUUGGACAAGCUGCCAUGUGACCACACCUGGACACCUGCCACACUGUCUCCAGGGACCACGUCAGAGCUCUGGGGCCCUUUCGCACCCGUUGCUUCCUUUGGAUCAGGAAGGGCAUCUCUCUCAUGUGGACCCGGCCUCGUUGGGGCCUCCCUGUGGGUGUCGGGCUGAUCCCCACCACGGCUCGAGCAGGUGGCCUGGGAACACAUUGAGCCUAGCCCAAGAGCCCCAUGAUGAGGCAGAGUCCUCUCGACACCCAGCUCGAGGCUCAAACUCACACCCCCGAGAUGGAGAACCACUCACUCCGUCAACCAAGCCAGCUGGUCGCCUGUCCUCUCUGUCUUCUCGCAUCACAGUGUCUCGACACCUCGACGAUCUCUCAGCCCGUCCUGACAGGUCAUCGACCUGUGGUCCUCCCCAGAAGGCGGCCAGAGCCCUCACAGUCAAGGGCUCUCUUGAGGGACGCACUCAGCUCUUCAGACCCGGGAGGUGCGGAGUUCCUGCCUCGUGGCAUGAGAGGCCACCGUGUGGCAAGCCAUCGGGGCUCCAGAAGGGCCCCUGCCUAUGCAGCUGGCCCCUUCCAGAACUGGUCACGACAGGCAGAAACUCUGUCAGUGAAGUUGGGGAGCUCGUGGUCUGUGAUGCAGCCCUCCACGUGGCCUCAGCCUCGGUUGCUGACAGAUCAAUGCAAUUCGUGAAGUCCCUCGUAGCCCACCCCACAGCACCGGUCCCUUCUCCUUGUGAAAUGUGUGCCUUCAGCUGGUGUAAGCCCUGGCCCGGCUCUGUUCUGGAGACAGUUAUGUUCGUCUUCUUUUGCUGUACCACCAACUGCCACAAAUUGAGCAGCUCAAUGCAACACAUUCACUAUUACACGGCUUCCCUGGGUCAGACACGCGGAUCUGAGUUUUCUGGGCCCUCUGCUCAGGGCCUCCCAGGUGAAGUCGGUGUCUGCCAGGGCUGCUCCGGACCUGAGGCACAGGCCCUCUCUGGAGGGUGGGCGGGAUCCAGUUCCUUGUUGUAGGACUGAGGUCCAUUUUCUGCUUGGCUGUUGGCUGGGGGCCGCCCCAUGGCCCCCUCCAAGGGCCCUUUCUCAGGGUGGCCGGCUGGAGACAUUGACGGCAGGCAGCACGAUGGAGACUGUCACAGUGACAUCCCAGGACUUUGUCCUGUGGGUGCGGAAGACUCUUCUGGCAUUGUUUCAGCUCCUGCCCACACCAAAGGGGAGGACACAGGGUGCCCAGACAGCUCUGUACGCCACUGGGCCCUGGAGGGCUGUUUUCCUUGUGUGUUCAUAUAAACCCUACCACUCUAAGCCACCUUCCAUUCCUGCAACCCCAGCCCACACCCUCCAAGCCCCUAUCUUGCUCACUCAGCAUGAGAGCCAGACUGCGGCCCCCACGGACCUCCCUAUGCACCCACCUCUGCUCCCUCAUCUGGGAGGCAGCUUCCCCAGGCACCAGCCUGGACAUUUACCUGUGGCUGUCAUUCCUUCGGAGGCUGUUCCUAUCAGUCCUGUGGAGGGAGACCCUGCCCUGUUUUCGUCUCUUGACAACAUUUCUCCCAGAGAUUAAAACAAUCUUAUCUGUCCGUAAGCUGGCCUGCCGUCCGCCUCCCUCUGUCAGCUUCCAGGUCCCUGGCACACAGUAGGUGCUCAGCAAAUAUUUGUUGAGUGACAGAACAGUGGGCGUGAGCACGUGUCUCUGUGUCUGAUUGUGUCUGGUGGCGUCUCUGAGCGCCUGUGGUUUCUCCUCCCAGUGAGCCUGGCUGCCUGGAAUGUCCGAGUCCCCAGGAGUAGGAGCCAGAACCUGAUUCUUAGUGGGGCUGGUUGGCUUACCCCUGCCUUGUGCAGCCACGCCUCCUAGAAGAGGGGAG